Molecule: long non-coding RNA, 3990 nt
Organism: Dromaius novaehollandiae (emu)
Lineage: Eukaryota; Metazoa; Chordata; Aves; Casuariiformes; Dromaiidae
Exons: 3
Source: RefSeq, a predicted model, not a curated record
CCCGCGUAAAGCCAGCUGAGAAGUGUGUCAACUUUGCGCGGUCUCUGCCGCAGCCCGCUAAGAGGCAGAGAGGCUCCCGCGGGGGAAGGAGCUGGCCGCUGUCGGGCACGGGGGUCCCCGGGGCACAACAAGGAGGCGGCCCCGCGAUGCCAGAGACGGGCGCACCCCCGGGGACAGCCUUCCCCCUCCCCGGCGCCACGACCGGGGCCGCAAUACCGCCUUAAACGCGCGAGCGCGGGGUUUGGGGCGCCACCGCCCCUCCCGCGAUUUGCAUAGCCAAUAGCUCUGGGGCUCUCGCCGCUGCGCGCUGAUGGUUACCGGGCAGAUUAUAUUUUAAGGACGCCUGGUGCACGGCCUGGGAAGCAGCCGGCGACGGAGGGGGGUCAGGCGCAGCCUCUCACCUGGCCGCGCCGGCCCCGCCGGCCCCGGGCAAGGUGGGCCCGUGGGCCACCGCCGCCAGCAAGCGGGCAACCGCGCCCCCUCCCUCCCCAGCCCUGCAGCCAACGGAGGGGAGCGAUGGGACCGACUUUGCCAUGCAUUGUAGUUCCGCGGAGUACAGCCGCGAAGGCUCCGUGCAAAAAGCGGCUGGGACGGCCCCGCGCCUAGCCAAGUCGUUUUAGCCCGUCGGAGCCAAAGGCUGCUUCGCCAUCGAAAAGCCACCAGGACUUGGCCCGGGCCGGGACAGCCGAGUCCUCAAGGCGCUGCUAACAGCAUUCUCCCACCCCAUACAUGGUCGUCCCCCGUCCUCUCCACGAAGCGAGAGGCUGCCGGGCGCCGUCGGGGAGCUGCCGCGCACCACGUGUGGCCCCUCGCACCCCCGGCAGCAGGAGUUUAUCGGGAACGAGCCCGCGGCAGGCGGCACCGGGAGUUUUGCCGGUGCUUGAAGCCUGAAGACUGCAGUAUGAAACAUGAGAAUCUUAAAGUGAAACCGACUGGAAGCCAAAAAAGAAACAGAUGAACAUGUUUCCAUUGUCCAAGCUACUGAAAGAAAGCCCUGAAAGCAAACAAAUGCCAUGAAUAAUAAAUACAGUGUAUAUUAGAUUUAAAAGAAAAUUAUUCCAGCUUCAAUCACUGGAAGCAAUCUAUCUUGGUGUUUUGUUUUGUUUUUUAAUAUCUGAUUUUUACCUAUUCAUAGUUAAGUUCCAUGCUGUGCAUUCAACAGGAACAGGAACAGCAUGAUAAAAAAAUCUUUUCUUUCCUCUGUUUUUCCUAAUUAAAAGUUAGGAAAGGAUUUGGAUACCGCAGGAACUGCUGCAUGUAUUUUCAAGGAGUUUCAUGCUGCCCACAUAUUUUCAAGGAGUUAUUUUUAAUUGUGCUGACAAUUUUCAGCUCUAAAUGUCUGUGUUGUGGGAGCUUUAUCAUUGGUAGCCACCUUAUGUAACAUAAUGACAGAGCAGGUGAAAUACUCCUUUCUGUUUUAUGCAAAGUGUCUUCAUUAUCCUUCUUCAUUCCUUAGUUUUAUCUUCUUUAGAGAAAUAAAUUGUCGCUUGUGUUUGUGCAGUGCCCGGUGCGAGGAGUGUACAGCUCCACUCAUAGAUGUCUGUAUUAGGUGAGAUUGGAAGGCACUCAAAAAAGAGCUACGAAAAUGACCAAGCACGUGGAAGUCACAUCUUGUGCUGGAAGACUUUGCAAGUUCAGCACAGUUAGCCCUCGGACACUUCAGAGGUUCACAUGGACAUAAUUAUAGAGAAAUGUAGAGAGAUUCAGAAUGGUAGAGGUGGCAGUGGUGCAUUUAGGCAGAGAACAAACAACUUUUCAGCUGCAAGUUUAUUAACCCCUCUAUAUUUCAGUUAAGGCAGCAUCUUUUGGUUAGACAGUAUUAACAUCUAAAAAGUGUAUUCCACAGCAAACUGAAGUUGCAGAGUUGAAGCAGAAGUUACUACGUUGGGAUUCUUUGACCUGUGUUACACAAAAAAUCAGAGACAUAGUCCCUGUGACAUCUUCUGAUGACAUUAAAACCGAUGGAUCUGUGAAUCUAUACAGAACCUGUAAUUUCCAGUUACAUGGGCACAUGCAGAAUUAGGGCUAGAUUUUGCAGUUUUUCCUGGAGCCAAAGUAGAUUAAAUUGGUGAGAAAUUUCUGCUGAGUGAGCUACAGCUCUGGAAUUGUGGUUGUUCUCACUACACAGGGGACAUGGAAAUUUCUGUCUUUCCUAACUUUCCUGGUGCCACAGCCUUAUCUUGCCGGGGUGCCAUGUACUUCCCAGCAAGUGCUGCAGACUUGAUCCUCUCUUUGGUGAGCUCAGCGAGAAGGCUGCCACUCGUUUACAGGGAGCAGGUGCCUCCCACACGCUAGAAAAUCAGCUGAAACGGAGAGCACUUGACAUUUGCACAGAAUCGGACCCAUGGUAUGCAACACCUUACAUAAACUUUGUCAUUCUUUUUUGAGAAGUGGUGUAAGGAAAAGCUGGCUGUUGGAGCAGAUAUUUGAAAGGUCGAGAACAAGUUCUGGCAAAUUACAGCCCAGCACUAGGAAAGAAGGGAGUGGUGCCUGUUUCCCUGUGAAUGAAUGGGUGGAUCAUUAAAUACUGUUGGCACCUGAAAGGCUUCUUUACCUGAGGAGAACAAAGGAAUUGCUCCAUCCUGGAGAAAAUCAGAGCUAUCCAACUUCUGUGAAGCAGGCUGUGACUGAAGGAAAAGCAUUCCCUUAGAAGCGGGGCUAAGAAGCCAUGUGCUAAGAAAGCUUGGGGAAAAAAAAAAAAAAAAAAAAAGGAACAGAAGAACAUGCUUCUGUAAAAGAACAGUCCUUCAUAAUGAGACAUCACCUCAGCAUGAGAGCUGCAGUGGAAAGACUUCAGUUUCUUGUGGAGACGUCUUGUGCAGGAGUGAAAGAAGGUCUUCCUGAGAAAAUCUGGACAGGAACUGAAGUAAGACAAAAGAUGGCGAAGAAGCAGAGGCAGAGAAAUAUACAUAGGCCCUUCUACUGCUUCAUUAUCUCUAUAUACUUCUUGUGCAUGUCAAGUGCACAGUGAUUAGUUUUACAAAUGUUAUGCAGUCUAUUAUGUAUUUUAACUGUGAUCUAUUCCUGAGGUGGUAAAUUAUAAAAGGGAGGGCCUGCAAGGGUGGAGUGCGUGGAGAAGUACAGGCUGAAACUGCUAGAGAGGUGGAAAAGCCAACCUAAGACCCCGGUUCUGCCUGUGGGGUCCGAGGAAGAAGCACUGAAGGGAGGACCUGUGCUCUGAGACAUGCUUGCAAACAUAUUGUUCAAAGCAGUGUCUGGGGUCUGUUUGGUUUAAGGAAGCAAAAAAACCACUCGAGUUCAACAUGCUGUGAUCCAGACACAGCAGUAUUAUGAAUAUUCAGAAUAAAAACUAUGUAAGGUUUUGAAAGGAUUUAGCAGUUUUUUGGUGCUGUGGGCUUUUUGCUCAUUUUUUCCUUUUUUUCUUGUGAAAGUCAGAAACAGAUUGAAAUUUGCUGACUCCAGCCCUUAGAAGAUGGUUCAAGGGACCAAGCUUCUGGCUCAGACUUUCCAAACCCUUCUGGGAAUCAGAGCAUAUGUCCAGGAGAGCAUCAGAUACUUAGAGAAAGUUAGAAGGAGAAGAAGUAAUUUUGCUUCUCUUCUGAACUGAAUCACAAUUAUAAUGUUCGCUGACAACUUUCUGAUGCUUACUGUAACUGUAGCUUUUUUAUUUUUUUUCCCCCUCACACUGCAGAAGCAGCAUAUUCUUGUCAUGCAGCUGUUCCUUACUGUGUCUUCCUUCUGCUUUGGGUGGAUUUUCCCAUGUUCAAAUCCAUGGCUUUUCAGUUCUCCUGUCACUGAACAGCUGCAGGCUGAUACUAGAUAGAGCUGAUUUUUUUUUCUGUGUUCACAUACAAGCAGGCUUGUGAACCAAAAUUUUUUAAGAAAGCUGAUAAAUGAACAAGGUCUUUUGGACGAUGCAGUGUUCCUAACAUUGCAGACAAUAAAAAUCUUUGUAUUCGUACUCACUUAAAGCAAAGGAAGACAUAACUCAAUGUGUUUUAUCUGUGAGCCUCCAAGCUUUUCCCUACA